CCUACGGGUGGCUGCAGUGGGGAAUAUUGGACAAUGGGCGAAAGCCUGAUCCAGCCAUGCCGCGUGUGUGAAGAAGGCCUUCGGGUUGUAAAGCACUUUCAGUGGGGAAGAAAGCCUUGGGGCUAAUACCCUCGAGGAAGGACAUCACCCACAGAAGAAGCACCGGCUAACUCCGUGCCAGCAGCCGCGGUAAUACGGAGGGUGCGAGCGUUAAUCGGAAUUACUGGGCGUAAAGCGCGCGUAGGCGGUCUGAUAAGCCGGUUGUGAAAGCCCCGGGCGCAACCUGGGAACGGCAUCCGGAACUGUCAGGCUGGAGUGCAGGAGGGGAAGGUAGAAUUCCCGGUGUAGCGGUGAAAUGCGUAGAGAUCGGGAGGAAUACCAGUGGCGAAGGCGGCCUUCUGGACUGACACUGACGCUGAGGUGCGAAAGCGUGGGUAGCAAACAGGAUUAGAUACCCCGGUAGUC
This 465-nucleotide ribosomal RNA is filed under the name Vreelandella stevensii. RNAcentral's name for it is "partial 16S ribosomal RNA". It matches the Rfam family "Bacterial small subunit ribosomal RNA", at positions 338 to 795 of the family's 1533-position model. Lineage: Bacteria; Pseudomonadati; Pseudomonadota; Gammaproteobacteria; Oceanospirillales; Halomonadaceae. The record is from RNAcentral.